Molecule: non-coding RNA, 1238 nt
Organism: Cicer arietinum (chickpea)
Lineage: Eukaryota; Viridiplantae; Streptophyta; Magnoliopsida; Fabales; Fabaceae
Source: RefSeq, a predicted model, not a curated record
CAGGAUAACAGUUCAAAGAUUAAAUUGAUAAAUUAAAUAAUACAUAGAUCCAACUGAAGAAAAAAAUGAUAGGUUAGGGAUUAAAAUAGAUGUUAUCCUUUGUGACUGGUUAACAAGGAUAUUCGAUCACAAAAAUAUUAAUUUACUGAAUUAUUGUAAUACUUUAAUUCUAAAAAAGAAAAAGAAAAAGAAAGGAGAAGUGUGACAGCAAUAGCAUAAUCAUGGAGAGCGUGAAGGUGGUGACGGUGAAGCCAAUCGAAGCAACUCCAUCAACCUUCAAAGACUACGGUCAGGUCAUCGAGGCUUCACCGGACGGCGAGGGUUUCGGCCCCCACGACGCUCAACUUGACCUCACCCAAGGAAUUCCCAGGCUCUACAUUAUGCAUCUUGAAAAUCGCCCACUUAAGUUUUCUAUUAUCACACAUCAUGCAAGCGUGACUCAGUGCCUUGGGUCCAUUGGUGGUAAUGUUUGGUAUCUUGGAGUGGCUAAGCCAUCCCUUGUUGAUUCAGAUGAAAUCAAGGACAAGAAAAUCUUGCAGUCACACAGUGGUCAUUUUUAUGUUCCUCCUGCCAUUGAGGAUGUCCAAGUUUUCAAGGUUUCAGGUUCCAAAUUUCUCAAGCUUAAUCUCGGGACAUGGCACGCGGGUCCUCUAUUUAAGUCUGACACAAUGGACUUUUACAACCUAGAACUCAGUGAUACAAAUGUGGUUGAUCAUACCACACACAACUUUAAGGACAAUGGAGUGGUCUUUUCAAUCGAUGAGUAAUAAUCAGUAUCAUCAAGGGGAGGCUCAGCUGCUUCAUCUGCACCCUCAAACCCAGUGAUUAUGUGGACUCUCCAUUGAUGAAGAACAUAUUACUACCACUUCGAUUGCCCUUUUCAGUGAAGCUAUAUCAACUCAUCUUCCACCAUCUAAUUCACAGAUCAAAUAACCAAAUGUCAUUAUUGUGGAAACCUGAUUAAAUUCAAGGAUGAGACAAGUACUAUGACUAUGCAUUUGAAAAGAUGUAAGUACCAUACUGAUAAUCAAGAACGCAAAAGACAUCUCUAUCAACAAAGCUUAUAGAAGGGGAAUUAUAUGUUGUCUCUUCACCUCAUUCAAUGUUUGACCAAGAUGCAUGUCGAUUGGAGCUUGUGAAAAUGCUUGUGGAUGCAAAGUUUCUGUAACAUCCCGCUUUUUCAUGACAUUAACUAACGAAAUUUUAAACAUAACAUUAUAACAAUAUAUCACAUAGUA